GAAUCUUGGAGAACACCGACCAGGACUCUAACGGAAGCAGCAGUAGGCAUCUCGCAUUGGACGAAAGUUCGAACGAGCACGCGCGUGAGGUGAUGAACGUUUCGAUCGUAAACUUCUGUGUCGGGAGGAACAAGUACUGAUAGUAACUGAUCGCUACUGACGUACCGACAGAAAGUCUCGGCUACUACGUGGCCAGCAGCCGCGGUAAUACGUAGGUGGCAAGCGUCGUCCGGAAUUAUGGGCGUAAAGCGCUCGCAGGCGGUUCUUUAAGUCUGAUGUGAAAUCUUGCGGCUCAACCGUAAACGGUGCAUUGGAAACUGGAGGACUUGAGUGCAGAAGAGGAGAGUGGAAUUCCACGUGUAGCGGUGAAAUGCGUAGAGAUGUGGAGGAACACCCAGUGGCGAAGGCGACUCUCUGGUCUGUAACUGACGCUGAGGAGCGAAAGCGUGGGGAGCGAACAGGAUUAGAUACCCUGGUAGUUCCCGCCGUAAACGAUGAGUGCUAGGUGUUAGGGGGUUUCCGCCCCUUAGUGCUGAAGUUAACGCAUUAAGCCCUCCGCCUGGGGAGUACGGCCGCAAGGCUGAAACUCAAAAGAAUUGACGGGGACCCGCACAAGCGGUGGAGCAUGUGGUUUAAUUUGAAGCAACGCGAAGAACCUUACCCGGUCUUGACCUCCUUUGCCCGCUGUGGAGACAGAGUUUUCCCUUUGGGGACAAAAUGACAGGUGGUGCCUGGUUGUUGUCAGCUCGUGUCGUGAGAUGUUGGGUUAAGUCCCGCAACGAGCGCCACCCUUGAUUUUAGUUGCCCGCCUUUAGUUGGGCCCUUUAAGGUGACUGCCGGUGACAAACCGGAGGAAGGGGGGGAAGACGUCAAAUCAUCAUGCCCCUUAUGACCUGGGCUACCCACGUGGUACAAUGGACGGAACAAAGGGAAGCAAAACCGGGAGGUCAAGCAAAUUCCAUAAAACCCUUUUCAGUUUGGAUUGUAGGGUGCAACUUGCCUACCAGAAGCCGGAAUCGCUUGUAAUCGCGGAUCAGCCAGCCGCGGGGAAUACGUUCCCGGGUCUUGUACCCCCCCCCCCUCCCCCCCCGAGAUUUUGUAAAACGACGGCCAGUAGAGUUGAUCAUGGCUCAGGACGACCGCUGGCGGUGGCCAG
This 1156-nucleotide ribosomal RNA is filed under the name uncultured Oceanobacillus sp. RNAcentral describes it as "bacterial SSU rRNA". It matches the Rfam family "Bacterial small subunit ribosomal RNA", at positions 309 to 1470 of the family's 1533-position model. The record is from RNAcentral. Lineage: Bacteria; Bacillati; Bacillota; Bacilli; Caryophanales; Bacillaceae.